CCUACGGGGGGCUGCAGUGGGGGAUCUUGCACAAUGGGCGAAAGCCUGAUGCAGCGACACCGCGUGAGUGCUACGGCCUUCGGGUCUUAAAGCUCUUUUCGGAGGGAAGAAAGCGUCGGAUCGUCCGGCGUAUGACAUGAGCUCCGGAAUAAGCCCCGGCUAACUACGUGCCAGCAGCCGCGGUAAUACGUAGGGGGCGAGCGUUGUCCGGAUUCACUGGGCGUAAAGGGUUCGUAGGCGGCAUGUCAAGUCUCACGUCAAAGCCCCGGGCUCAACCCGGGAGAGGCAUGGGAUACUGGCAAGCUUGAGGACGGAAGAGGCGAGCGGAACGUUGCAAGUAGCGGUGAAAUGCAUUGAUAUGCAACGGAACACCAAUGGCGAAGGCAGCUCGCUGGUCCGUAUCUGACGCUGAGGGACGAAAGCCAGGGUAGCGAACGGGAUUAGAUACCCCAGUAGUC
This 458-nucleotide ribosomal RNA is filed under the name uncultured bacterium. RNAcentral's name for it is "bacterial SSU rRNA". It matches the Rfam family "Bacterial small subunit ribosomal RNA", at positions 338 to 795 of the family's 1533-position model. The record is from RNAcentral.